CAAUAGCGUAUAUUAAAGUUGUUGCAGUUAAAAGCUCGUAGUUGGACUUCAUGAACAGUAGAUGGGACAACCAUUUGCUUUCUACCAGUCUUUGACUGUUACUGUGAGAAAAUUAGAGUGUUUCAAGCAGGCUAUUGCAGGAAUACAUUAGCAUGGAAUAACGAAUGUAUCUACAAUUUGGUUAAUUGUAGACUACGAUUAAUAGGGACAGUUGGGGGCAUUAGUAUUUAAUUGUCAGAGGUGAAAUUCUUGGAUUAGUUAAAGACUAACGUAUGCGAAAGCAUUUGCCAAGGAUGUUUUCAUUAAUCAAGAACGAAAGAUAGGGGAUCAAAGACGAUUAGAUACCAU
This 348-nucleotide ribosomal RNA is filed under the name uncultured eukaryote. Its description in RNAcentral is "SSU rRNA". It matches the Rfam family "Eukaryotic small subunit ribosomal RNA", at positions 592 to 1018 of the family's 1831-position model. The record is from RNAcentral.